AAGCACAUUUCAUUGUCUUUUUCUUAACACCUGUAAGAAUAAAGAUAUUUCUGAUGUGCUAAAUAAUAGGUGAAGGUAAAUUAGCAGUGUGAUAUACAUAAUCAUCACUGUCAGUCACCUUCAGACAAAA
RNAcentral lists this small nucleolar RNA (130 nucleotides) under Varanus komodoensis (Komodo dragon). The record is from RNAcentral. Lineage: Eukaryota; Metazoa; Chordata; Lepidosauria; Squamata; Varanidae.